This 754-nucleotide ribosomal RNA is filed under the name uncultured bacterium. Its description in RNAcentral is "bacterial SSU rRNA". It matches the Rfam family "Bacterial small subunit ribosomal RNA", at positions 56 to 818 of the family's 1533-position model. The record is from RNAcentral.
UGCAAGUCGAACGAACUUAACCAUUAGUUUACUAUUGGAGCGGUUAGUGGCGGACUGGUGGGUAACACGUAAGCAACCUGCCUAUCAGAGGGGAACAACAGUUAGAAAUGACUGCUAAUACCGCAUAUGCCUUGAGUAUCACAUGGUACAAAAGGGAAAGGAGCAAUCCGCUGAUAGAUGGGCUUGCGUCUGAUUAGAUAGUUGGUGAGGUAACGGCCCACCAAGUCGACGAUCAGUAGCCGGACUGAGAGGUUGAACGGCCACAUUGGGACUGAGAUACGGCCCAGACUCCUACGGGAGGCAGCAGUCGGGAAUAUUGCGCAAUGGAGGAAACUCUGACGCAGUGACGCCGCGUGCAGGAAGAAGGUUUUCGGAUUGUAAACUGCUUUAGACAGGGAAGAAACAAGACAGUACCUGUAGAAUAAGCUCCGGCUAACUACGUGCCAGCAGCCGCGGUAAUACGUAGGGAGCAAGCGUUAUCCGGAUUUAUUGGGUGUAAAGGGUGCGUGGACGGGAAAUUAAGUUAGUUGUGAAAUCCCUCGGCUUAACUGAGGAACUGCAACUAAAACUGAUUUUCUUGAGUGCUGGAGAGGAAAGUGGAAUUCCUAGUGUAGCGGUGAAAUGCGUAGAUAUUAGGAGGAACACCAGUGGCGAAGGCGACUUUCUGGACAGUAACUGACGUUGAGGCACGAAAGUGUGGGGAGCAAACAGGAUUAGAUACCCUGGUAGUCCACACCGUAAACGAUGGAUACUA